RNAcentral lists this long non-coding RNA (206 nucleotides) under Mytilus galloprovincialis (Mediterranean mussel). Lineage: Eukaryota; Metazoa; Mollusca; Bivalvia; Mytilida; Mytilidae. The record is from RNAcentral.
CAAUCAUCCCCGUUUACUACCAGUCUAAUUAUAGUACAAAGAAAGAUCGGAAUCCCUUAAUUUUCGAGUUCGUUUAUGCAUGGUAGGUCAACUCAGUCAUCAAUUCAACAACACAAUGUGCAUUUUAAUUGUACUUGUUCAAAAUAUUACAAUUAACGGGCAUCUUCCCUUCUUAAGCAAAAGCUGAUGCAAUAAAGCACUGACCG